This 1260-nucleotide long non-coding RNA is filed under the name Anas platyrhynchos platyrhynchos (common mallard). RNAcentral describes it as "lncRNA (ENSAPLG00000025770.1)". Lineage: Eukaryota; Metazoa; Chordata; Aves; Anseriformes; Anatidae. The record is from RNAcentral.
AUGAUAUCUGCCCCGAUCGGAGCGGAGGGCUGCAUCUCGGGGCCAAAUACCCGCGCAGGCUCUGCGCACAGCCAUGGACGCGCACACUGCGAGCACCGCACCCCCCUCGGCUGCCAGAUCGAUGCCUCCCCGGCCCCCCCGGCUGCCGGCACAGCCGCGGCUCCAGCCCCAGCCCCAGCCCCAGCCCCCCCUCGUUACCGCUCGCCCCGGCGGCGCUCCCGCGGCUCCCCGGCCGGCCCCGCACCGCACUUAGCGCCCAACUCCGGGCUCCAGCCCGGCCGCCCGGGCACGGCAGCGGGGGCCGCGCCUUCUCUCCCCUUCUCCUCCCCCCUCCCCAGCCCGGGGGGCCGGCCCCGCUUCGCCCCCCGCCCUCCGCCGGGCCCCGGCCGCUCCCCACCUCCGGCCGCCGCUUGGGGCUCCCGGGGCCGCCCCGGCCGCGGCCCCGCGGGGCUCCGGGCUCGCCCCCCGCUGAUUGAUGGCUGCGGGCGGCCAAUGGCUCCGGCGCGGCCCCGUCCCGGCGUGUGCCGCAGCCCCCGCCCCGCGCCCCCAGCCCGGCUCUGCCCUGCCCUGCCCUGCCCCCGCCUCGCCAUCCCCGCGGCUCCGCUCCGCGCCGGCUCCUGCGAGCAAAGUUUGCAGCGCAGCCCCGCUGUGUGUGUGUGUGUGUGUGUGUGUGUGUGUGUGUGUGUGUGCGUGCCUCCCCCCCCUCCGUACAGCCGGGCUGCACCGCCUGGGGAGGGGGACGGGGACACCGGGGGGGGGCCGGCUGCCGGCUGCCGGCUGGGCUCGGCCUGGCCUCCCCUCGCCUCCCCUCCCCUCCGUGCCCCCGGCCCCGCCGCCAGGCCGCUGCCCGCCCCGGUUGCGGAGGGCAGCGGGGGCACGGCCCGGGCAGGGCAGGGCAGGGCAGGGCAGGGCCGGUUCAGCGCCGCCGCGCACCCCCGGCUCGCCCCGACCCGACCCGACCCGGCUCGGGGGCGGUCACGCCGGGCUCGCCCCGGUCAUUGUGUGCAGGAGGCUGCAGCCGCCCCCCCGCAGCCGCCGGUGGCACGGCCCCGCCGCUUUGUAACCCGCCGCUUUGUAACCCGCCGCUUUGUGCCUCCGAGCCCCCCCACACACUCACCUUUUCCCUGCGGGCCGGGGCCGCCUCAGCGCGGGCGGCGGGGCCGCUCCAUGGGGCGGCGGGGGCAGAGCCGGGGGCAGAGCCCUUGGCGCUGCCCGAGGCCGGGGCUGAGGCCGGGAGCGGGGCCGGGCGCGGUGCAGUGA